UCUACUUCAACUGCACCAGCACCUCCAUCCGGUGCCACCUCCAGCCGUGAUACAAGAAAACAGGCACAACCACCAUUAUCUGCCAAGAGCGCACCUGCGGGGCCUGCACAGCGUUCUUCUUCUUCCAUGGCAUCAACAGGGCACACAAGUGAUAUUAUUUGUCGUCGUUGUAAGGGAGGAGGUCAUUAUGCGAGGGAAUGCAAAUCUCCGCGUGUGAUGAUUGCUACUGCGGAUGGUGGAUAUGAGUCUGCUAGUGACUAUGAUGAGGAGACAUUGGCUCUUAUUACACGUGAAGAACAUGGUGGAGAUGAUUCUGAUCAUGAGACGCAAUACAUG
Molecule: ribosomal RNA, 336 nt
Filed under: Triticum aestivum (bread wheat)
Lineage: Eukaryota; Viridiplantae; Streptophyta; Magnoliopsida; Poales; Poaceae
Description: partial small subunit ribosomal RNA
Source: RNAcentral